CCUACGGGUGGCAGCAGUGAGGAAUAUUGGUCAAUGGGCGGGAGCCUGAACCAGCCAAGUCGCGUGAGGGAAGACGGUCCUAUGGAUUGUAAACCUCUUUAGGCGGGGAGCAAUGCCGGGCACGCGGGCCCGGAGGGAGAGUACCCGCAGAAUAAGCAUCGGCUAACUCCGUGAAAGCAGCCGCGGUAAUACGGGGGAUGCGAGCGUUAUCCGGUUUGAUUGGGUUUAAAGGGUGCGUAGGCGGAUUUUUAAGUCAGCGGUAAAAUGUCCGGGCUAAACCAGGGCCGGCCGUUGAAACUGGGGAUCUUGAGUGGGCGAGAAGUAUGCGGAAUGCGUGGUGUAGCGGUGAAAUGCAUAGAUAUCACGCAGAACUCCGGUUGCGAAGGCAGCAUACCGGCGCCCGACUGACGCUGAGGCACGAAAGCGUGGGGAUCGAACAGGAUUAGAUACCCGAGUAGUC
Molecule: ribosomal RNA, 460 nt
Filed under: uncultured bacterium
Lineage: Bacteria
Description: partial 16S ribosomal RNA
Rfam family: Bacterial small subunit ribosomal RNA
Source: RNAcentral